This 2012-nucleotide long non-coding RNA is filed under the name Musa acuminata (dwarf banana). RNAcentral's name for it is "long non-coding RNA (MACU_LNC008482)". The record is from RNAcentral. Lineage: Eukaryota; Viridiplantae; Streptophyta; Magnoliopsida; Zingiberales; Musaceae.
CCGAUCACUUUCACCUUUGAUAGAUCAUGGCGGUUUAGUUGGUUUGGGAAGUUUAGUUGAGACUGGGCACGUGCGUCAUCAAAAUGGAAAAGGUAAAGAAGAGAUGGAGGCUCGAAGAGAGGAGAGCCAUUUGCAUCGACCGCUCCUGACGCCAUGAAUACCAAUAACAGUACAAGUAUGGAUCGCCUCUAUAUUGUGUGGGUGUUUCUACUAUUUCUUCAAGCUAUGGAAAAUAAUGCGUAUUGUAUGCCAUUCUCCCAUCAUACUUUCGUUGGAAAACCCAACGCCAAGUCAAACAAUUUGUCUCCUUUCACUUUUCGGGAGCAGAGCAGUAAAAGAAUAGCAAUUCUCAAUAAUGGAAGAGUUCUUCUGGGGAUGUGACAUAUAUCAAACCAAGGAAAUACAAAGUAAGCAAAUAGACGCUACAAUACUCAUGGAAAAAAUCGACUAUAAGAAUGACUUACUAAUGGAUAAAAUACACUAUCAAAAUGAUGAAGUACAAAGUGAGCAAAUAUACUCUCUUCCCCAUUUGAAGGAAAUAACAAGAUUGAGUGCGGAAAUGAGGAUACAGGACUGCAACAGCUUAAGCCCACUUGAGCAAUUUACCAUUCACCCAUUAAUUCUGAUUCGUGGGGGCAACUAUUAUUUCUCAUUCACAAAUCCAUCCUUGUCUCUGCUGCUCACUCUCGGUUUGGUCCUACUUCUGCUUUUUUUGGUUACGAAAAAGGGAGGGGGAAAGUCAGUGCCAAAUGCUUGGCAAUCCUUGGUAGAGCUUCUUUAUGAUUUCGUGCUUAACCCAGUAAACGAACAAAUAGGUGGUCGAAAUGUGAACCAAAAGUUUUUCCCUUGCAUCUCGGUCACUUUGACUUUUUCGUUAUUUUGUAAUCCCCAGGGUAUGAUACCCUAUAGUUUCACAGUUACAAGUCAUUUUCUCAUUACUUUGACUCUAUCAUUUUCUCUUGUUAUAGGCAUUACGAUCGUUGGAUUUCAAAGACAUGGGCUUCAUUUUUUGAGCUUCUCAUUACCAGCAGGAGUCCCACUACCGUUAGCACCUUUUUUAGUACUCCUUGAGCUAAUCCCUCAUUGUUUUCGUGCAUUAAGCUCAGGAAUACGUUUAUUUGCUAAUAUGAUGGCCGGUCAUAGUUCAGUGAAGAUUUUAAGUGGGUCUGCUUGGACUAUACUAUUAUUGAAUAAUGUAUUCUAUUUCAUAGGAGAUCCUGGUCCUUUCUUUAUAGUUCUUGCAUUAACCGGUCCGGAAUUAGGUGUAGCUAUAUUACAAGCUCAUGUUUCUACGAUCUCAAUCUGUAUUUACUUGAAUGAUGCUACAAAUCUCCAUCAAUAUUAGUUCUUUCAUAAUUGAAUCAAAAUGAGGAGCCGGGCAACUGCUAUGCUUUUGCAGCUCAUUUACAUUACUUGGAUUGGAGAGCUAUCAACUAUCCUUUUGGAAGCGGAUAGUAUACAGUGCUAAUUCUCCAAAAUACAUAGGAAAAGCCAACUCAUCAUGAUAUUUCCACUCCAUUUUCAUUACGAAGAUGUCUCACGUCAGGAUCCGUUGCUCAAACCGAAUCACGCCAACGUUAUGGAAGUUCCUGGAUCGUUUGAAAUCAGAUUAGUACCAUCAGCUGCCUUCAUUAUUCCAUUUUCUAAGUUCGCUAUGGAGAUGGAGUGCGGUCAGAGAUUCAUACAGAAACAAAGGAGCCCUUAUUUCCAAGCUGGAAAGGUCAAGUCGUUUCGAUCCAAUACUUUCUUGGGAUCUGAAAAAGACACUGCAUAUGUCAGUGACUUUGAACGACAAAGCGCUCUCCGAGGGCUUGGAAUGUCACAUUUGAUGGUCAGAAUCUCGAUGGUAAUGUCUAUAUUAGAUUCUAAGGUCGAAAUACGGGAAAACCCCAUCCAAUUCUCGAUGGAAACAGAGUUUUUCGAAUUCUCCCCGGAACUAGAAGAGCAUUUCGAGAUCUUCGAGCAUAUUAAAGGGUUCAAUGUGACUAUUGUGACUUCGGCCAACACAAAAG